UGAAAAACAACGAACUUGAUCAGGUUGCAGAUUUCCUGGGUCAUGAUAUCCGCGUUCACCGCGAAUUCUACAGAUUACCAGUUCCCACAACACAGCUGGCCAAGAUUUCCAAACUGCUUUUAACACUGGAAAAAGGACAUCUUUCCCAGAUCCAGGGGAAAUCACUGGAUGAGAUCAAAAUAGAAGAUGAAAUUGCAUUAAGUGAUGCUGAAACAAAGGACAGUGAGAGUGAAUCAGAUGAUGAUGACACAGCACUCACAAUGUCGGCGUGUGGCACCAGUGAGCCUGUACAUGCAGUAGCUGAUUCCACAAACACAGCGCAGCUCCAAGACACUGUAGAUUGUGCAGAUGAAGGACCACUCACAAUGCCUGCAGCAAGUGAGACUGCUGCUCCCUCUGAAGAGAAAAAUGCUGCUCAAUCCCACAAUUCCCGAAGAGCUCCCAAAAACAUGUGGUCCAAGGCUGAGGUUGCUGCAGUGAUGAGGCAUUUUAAAGACCACAUAAACGAAGGGAAACUAGCCACCAAAAAUGAAUGCAGUCAUUGCAAAUUGGUAGAAGAUCCGGUGUUGGCAGGAAGAACAGUUCAAAACAUAAGAGAUUUUGUAAGAAACAGAGGAUUAACUGCAAAAAGGCAGAAAAAAAUGAAUUAAAAUAACUGUUUAGCCAGAUGUGGUUUUACAUCUUGGUCAGAUUGCCAAUUGUUGUUAACACUGAUGUUCUGUUUAAAGAAAAAAAAAGUUCUUGUUAAAUACAGAAGCAGUUUGUAUUUCAUAAUUUUUACAUUUAAUUUAUUUAGGGUUUUUUUUGACGGGUUAUAUUUAAAAUAAAAAAUUAUAAAUGCAUAUUUUCUCCCCUUAAUAUUUACCUUUAAACUAUUAAAAUUCAUUUUAAAUGUUUUUAAUUUUUCUGUUUUCUAUAUUUUUAUAUUUCUGUGGGAAGCGUGGGCAUUUUUGUCCAUAGAUUUCUUUUUUUAUUUAUGGUUAAAAUUAAUGUUCAGAUCCAAGAACACUAAUAAAAUGAUGUUCCAGUAA
This is a long non-coding RNA of Astatotilapia calliptera (eastern happy), 1031 nucleotides long. NCBI's taxonomy places the organism in Eukaryota, Metazoa, Chordata, Actinopteri, Cichliformes, Cichlidae. The record is from Ensembl.